RNAcentral lists this transfer RNA (32 nucleotides) under Ceramanus centipes. RNAcentral describes it as "partial tRNA-Phe". Lineage: Eukaryota; Viridiplantae; Streptophyta; Jungermanniopsida; Jungermanniales; Lepidoziaceae. RNAcentral also lists the same sequence under 4 other names. The record is from RNAcentral.
GCCGGAAUAGCUCAGUCGGUAGAGCAGAGGAC